GGGGAUUUAGCUCAGUGGUAGAGCGCUUGCCUAGCAAGCGCAAGGCACUGGGUUCGGUCCCCAGCUCCA
Non-coding RNA from Rattus norvegicus (Norway rat), 69 nucleotides. The record is from Rfam. Lineage: Eukaryota; Metazoa; Chordata; Mammalia; Rodentia; Muridae.